UUAAGCGACUAAGCGUACACGGUGGAUGCCCUGGCAGUCAGAGGCGAUGAAGGACGUGCUAAUCUGCGAUAAGCGUCGGUAAGGUGAUAUGAACCGUUAUAACCGGCGAUUUCCGAAUGGGGAAACCCAGUGUGUUUCGACACACUAUCAUUAACUGAAUCCAUAGGUUAAUGAGGCGAACCGGGGGAACUGAAACAUCUAAGUACCCCGAGGAAAAGAAAUCAACCGAGAUUCCCCCAGUAGCGGCGAGCGAACGGGGAGCAGCCCAGAGCCUGAAUCAGUGUGUGUGUUAGUGGAAGCGUCUGGAAAGGCGCGCGAUACAGGGUGACAGCCCCGUACACAAAAAUGCACAUGCUGUGAGCUCGAUGAGUAGGGCGGGACACGUGGUAUCCUGUCUGAAUAUGGGGGGACCAUCCUCCAAGGCUAAAUACUCCUGACUGACCGAUAGUGAACCAGUACCGUGAGGGAAAGGCGAAAAGAACCCCGGCGAGGGGAGUGAAAAAGAACCUGAAACCGUGUACGUACAAGCAGUGGGAGCACGCUUAGGCGUGUGACUGCGUACCUUUUGUAUAAUGGGUCAGCGACUUAUAUUCUGUAGCAAGGUUAACCGAAUAGGGGAGCCGAAGGGAAACCGAGUCUUAACUGGGCGUUAAGUUGCAGGGUAUAGACCCGAAACCCGGUGAUCUAGCCAUGGGCAGGUUGAAGGUUGGGUAACACUAACUGGAGGACCGAACCGACUAAUGUUGAAAAAUUAGCGGAUGACUUGUGGCUGGGGGUGAAAGGCCAAUCAAACCGGGAGAUAGCUGGUUCUCCCCGAAAGCUAUUUAGGUAGCGCCUCGUGAAUUCAUCUCCGGGGGUAGAGCACUGUUUCGGCAAGGGGGUCAUCCCGACUUACCAACCCGAUGCAAACUGCGAAUACCGGAGAAUGUUAUCACGGGAGACACACGGCGGGUGCUAACGUCCGUCGUGAAGAGGGAAACAACCCAGACCGCCAGCUAAGGUCCCAAAGUCAUGGUUAAGUGGGAAACGAUGUGGGAAGGCCCAGACAGCCAGGAUGUUGGCUUAGAAGCAGCCAUCAUUUAAAGAAAGCGUAAUAGCUCACUGGUCGAGUCGGCCUGCGCGGAAGAUGUAACGGGGCUAAACCAUGCACCGAAGCUGCGGCAGCGACGCUGAUGCGUUGUUGGGUAGGGGAGCGUUCUGUAAGCCUGCGAAGGUGUGCUGUGAGGCAUGCUGGAGGUAUCAGAAGUGCGAAUGCUGACAUAAGUAACGAUAAAGCGGGUGAAAAGCCCGCUCGCCGGAAGACCAAGGGUUCCUGUCCAACGUUAAUCGGGGCAGGGUGAGUCGACCCCUAAGGCGAGGCCGAAAGGCGUAGUCGAUGGGAAACAGGUUAAUAUUCCUGUACUUGGUGUUACUGCGAAGGGGGGACGGAGAAGGCUAUGUUGGCCGGGCGACGGUUGUCCCGGUUUAAGCGUGUAGGCUGGUUUUCCAGGCAAAUCCGGAAAAUCAAGGCUGAGGCGUGAUGACGAGGCACUACGGUGCUGAAGCAACAAAUGCCCUGCUUCCAGGAAAAGCCUCUAAGCAUCAGGUAACAUCAAAUCGUACCCCAAACCGACACAGGUGGUCAGGUAGAGAAUACCAAGGCGCUUGAGAGAACUCGGGUGAAGGAACUAGGCAAAAUGGUGCCGUAACUUCGGGAGAAGGCACGCUGAUAUGUAGGUGAAGUCCCUUGCGGAUGGAGCUGAAAUCAGUCGAAGAUACCAGCUGGCUGCAACUGUUUAUUAAAAACACAGCACUGUGCAAACACGAAAGUGGACGUAUACGGUGUGACGCCUGCCCGGUGCCGGAAGGUUAAUUGAUGGGGUCAGCGCAAGCGAAGCUCUUGAUCGAAGCCCCGGUAAACGGCGGCCGUAACUAUAACGGUCCUAAGGUAGCGAAAUUCCUUGUCGGGUAAGUUCCGACCUGCACGAAUGGCGUAAUGAUGGCCAGGCUGUCUCCACCCGAGACUCAGUGAAAUUGAACUCGCUGUGAAGAUGCAGUGUACCCGCGGCAAGACGGAAAGACCCCGUGAACCUUUACUAUAGCUUGACACUGAACAUUGAGCCUUGAUGUGUAGGAUAGGUGGGAGGCUUAGAAGUGUGGACGCCAGUCUGCAUGGAGCCGACCUUGAAAUACCACCCUUUAAUGUUUGAUGUUCUAACGUUGACCCGUAAUCCGGGUUGCGGACAGUGUCUGGUGGGUAGUUUGACUGGGGCGGUCUCCUCCUAAAGAGUAACGGAGGAGCACGAAGGUUGGCUAAUCCUGGUCGGACAUCAGGAGGUUAGUGCAAUGGCAUAAGCCAGCUUGACUGCGAGCGUGACGGCGCGAGCAGGUGCGAAAGCAGGUCAUAGUGAUCCGGUGGUUCUGAAUGGAAGGGCCAUCGCUCAACGGAUAAAAGGUACUCCGGGGAUAACAGGCUGAUACCGCCCAAGAGUUCAUAUCGACGGCGGUGUUUGGCACCUCGAUGUCGGCUCAUCACAUCCUGGGGCUGAAGUAGGUCCCAAGGGUAUGGCUGUUCGCCAUUUAAAGUGGUACGCGAGCUGGGUUUAGAACGUCGUGAGACAGUUCGGUCCCUAUCUGCCGUGGGCGCUGGAGAACUGAGGGGGGCUGCUCCUAGUACGAGAGGACCGGAGUGGACGCAUCACUGGUGUUCGGGUUGUCAUGCCAAUGGCACUGCCCGGUAGCUAAAUGCGGAAGAGAUAAGUGCUGAAAGCAUCUAAGCACGAAACUUGCCCCGAGAUGAGUUCUCCCUGACUCCUUGAGAGUCCUGAAGGAACGUUGAAGACGACGACGUUGAUAGGCCGGGUGUGUAAGCGCAGCGAUGCGUUGAGCUAACCGGUACUAAUGAACCGUGAGGCUUAACCUU
This 2902-nucleotide ribosomal RNA is filed under the name Escherichia coli. RNAcentral describes it as "bacterial LSU rRNA". It matches the Rfam family "Bacterial large subunit ribosomal RNA". RNAcentral also lists the same sequence under 1 other name. The record is from RNAcentral. Lineage: Bacteria; Pseudomonadati; Pseudomonadota; Gammaproteobacteria; Enterobacterales; Enterobacteriaceae.